CUUGAGGGUUAUCAAGAGGAAGUUUGGAAAUCAAGAAGUUCAAUCUUUCUUUGGAAGUUUCGUAACAAGACAGGUUUUGCUUGGCCUAGUUGGCCGGUCGGUUAGCUUCUUCCGAACAAGAUAGCGUAAUAUCCCAAAAUUGACCAAUUUCCGCCGGCAGUUCCAAAGAACAUGAUGCUUUUAUUUUAUUUAUUUUUUAUUUUGAGUGUAUUGUGAGUUUUUAUUUUGUUGUAAUAUUCUCCUCAUCCCUCUCUAAUUUGGUUUGUAAUUAUUUUUUAAAAUGUUGUAAUAAUUCCCCACCCCGCUUCUUUUUAUCCCGUUCUUUAACUUGCUUUCUUUAUUUGUACAUAAACAUCAUAUUUAUUUUUCAUCAUAGUUAUGCUUUGCAUCCAUGUUUCAUG
Molecule: non-coding RNA, 401 nt
Organism: Camellia sinensis
Lineage: Eukaryota; Viridiplantae; Streptophyta; Magnoliopsida; Ericales; Theaceae
Source: RefSeq, a predicted model, not a curated record